ACACCGGCAGCCCGAGUGGUGGCCACUAUUAUUGGGCCUAAAGCGUCCGUAGCCGGUCCGGUAAGUCCCUGUGGAAAUCCUCAGGCUCAACCUGAGGAAAUGCGGGGAUACUGCCGGACUCGGGGCCGGGAGACGCGGAGGGUACUCCAGGGGUAGCGGUGAAAUGCUGUAAUCCCUGGGGGACCACCAGUGGCGAAGGCGCUCCGCGAGAACGGGCCCGACGGUGAGGGACGAAAGCCAGGGGAGCGAACGGGAUUAGAUACCCUUGUAGUCC
This 274-nucleotide ribosomal RNA is filed under the name uncultured bacterium. RNAcentral's name for it is "partial 16S ribosomal RNA". It matches the Rfam family "Archaeal small subunit ribosomal RNA", at positions 473 to 747 of the family's 1478-position model. The record is from RNAcentral.